Molecule: transfer RNA, 61 nt
Filed under: Trachelus tabidus
Lineage: Eukaryota; Metazoa; Arthropoda; Insecta; Hymenoptera; Cephidae
Description: tRNA-Glu
Source: RNAcentral
UUUUAUAUAGUUUAUAAAUAAAACAUUAUAUUUUCAAUAUAAAAAAGUAAAUAUAUAAAAU